GCGGAUGUGGCGGAACUGGCAGACGCGCAAGGUUCAGGUCCUUGUGGGGGCAACCCCGUGGAGGUUCGACUCCUCUCAUCCGCA
Molecule: transfer RNA, 84 nt
Filed under: Phycisphaerae bacterium
Lineage: Bacteria; Pseudomonadati; Planctomycetota; Phycisphaerae
Also listed under: 1 other name
Description: tRNA-Leu
Rfam family: tRNA
About the family: Transfer RNA (tRNA) molecules are approximately 80 nucleotides in length. Their secondary structure includes four short double-helical elements and three loops (D, anti-codon, and T loops). Further hydrogen bonds mediate the characteristic L-shaped molecular structure. tRNAs have two regions of fundamental functional importance: the anti-codon, which is responsible for specific mRNA codon recognition, and the 3' end, to which the tRNAs corresponding amino acid is attached (by aminoacyl-tRNA synthetases). tRNAs cope with the degeneracy of the genetic code in two manners: having more than one tRNA (with a specific anti-codon) for a particular amino acid; and 'wobble' base-pairing, i.e. permitting non-standard base-pairing at the 3rd anti-codon position.
Source: RNAcentral